AGUUGUCUGUCAGUUGUUUCUGAUUUGUCAUUUUCUAGCUCAUGUCUGUCACAGGCCAUCCUUCUCAACACAUAAUCCUCAAGUAGGGGUGUAGACAUUCCUGUUUUGUUAGACUAAGCAGGGUGGAGUAAAUCUAAAAUUCACAGAAUGAGUCAUCAUAUAAAUAAUACAUGUUGUCAUUUGCCUCCAUGGCCAUUGUUUAAUCAACAAAAAGCACAAACCUCCACCUCUUAACCAAAGACCAACAAUAAUAAGAAGCUGUCUUUAAUCGGAUGAUAUCCCAUCUUUUAGCCUAUGACAGUUCAUACACCCAACAGGAAUAAACAAUUUAUAGGAUGGUCAAAAUGGAGGAAAAGCUGACAAUCUGUGCAAAGUGCUGCAGAUUCAUCACUGUAGCAAUAACAAAUGGCUGUAAAAAUACCAUACGAUUCCUCUUCCUGCUACCCUCAGUGGGAACAAAACUGAUACAGAAGGUUUGGGCUACAAGUCAAAAAAGAAGAUAAACAAACGGAGCUAACAGUUGGGAGUAGGAUUAGCGAAAACGGUCUCAUGAGAUGUCUGUUAGGGGAAUGGACAAGACUGAUAAUAACAAAUGGAAAUAAAGAACAAGCACAUAAACA
RNAcentral lists this long non-coding RNA (620 nucleotides) under Monodelphis domestica (gray short-tailed opossum). Its description in RNAcentral is "lncRNA (ENSMODG00000037736.1)". The record is from RNAcentral. Lineage: Eukaryota; Metazoa; Chordata; Mammalia; Didelphimorphia; Didelphidae.